AGAGUUUGAUCCUGGCUCAGGAUGAACGCUGGCGGCAUGCCUAAUACAUGCAAGUCGAACGAGGGUCCUUCGGGACUCGAGUGGCGAACGGGUGAGUAACACGUAGGGAACCUGCCCGUGCGACCGGGAGAACUUUCGGAAACGGAAGCUGAUACCGGAUAGGGACAGAGACGGCAUCGACUCUGUGUUAAAGGAGCUGAAAGGCUCCGCGCACGGAUGGACCUGCGGUGCAUUAGCUAGUUGGUGAGGUAACGGCCCACCAAGGCGACGAUGCAUAGCCGGCCUGAGAGGGCGGACGGCCACACUGGGACUGAGACACGGCCCAGACUCCUACGGGAGGCAGCAGUAGGGAAUUUUCGUCAAUGGGCGCAAGCCUGAACGAGCAAUGCCGCGUGAACGAGGAAGGUCUUCGGAUCGUAAAGUUCUGUUGAAGGGGAAAAAGAGCGGAGAGAGGAAAUGGUCUCCGAUUGAUAUUACCCUUCGAGGAAGUCACGGCUAACUACGUGCCAGCAGCCGCGGUAAUACGUAGGUGGCGAGCGUUAUCCGGAAUGAUUGGGCGUAAAGGGUGCGUAGGCGGCCUGCUAAGUCUGGAGUGAAAGGUACCGGCUCAACCGGUACAGGCUCUGGAAACUGGCGGGCUAGAGAGCAGGAGAGGGCGGUGGAACUCCAUGUGUAGCGGUAAAAUGCGUAGAUAUAUGGAAGAACACCAGUGGCGAAGGCGGCCGCCUGGCCUGUUACUGACGCUGAGGCACGAAAGCGUGGGGAGCAAAUAGGAUUAGAUACCCUAGUAGUCCACGCCGUAAACGAUGAGGACCAAGUGUUGGGGAAGACCCAGUGCUGCAGUUAACGCAGUGAGUCCUCCGCCUGGGGAGUAUGCACGCAAGUGUGAAACUCAAAGGAAUUGACGGGGGCCCGCACAAGCGGUGGAGUAUGUGGUUUAAUUCGAAGCAACGCGAAGAACCUUACCAGGCCUUGACAUAGGGUGCGAAGCUGUGGAGACAUAGUGGAGGUAAACAUCCAUACAGGUGGUGCAUGGUUGUCGUCAGCUCGUGUCGUGAGAUGUUCAGUUAAGUCUGGCAACGAGCGCAACCCUCGUGAUGUGUUACCAAUAUCGAGUUAGGGACUCACAUCAGACUGCCGGUGAGAAACCGGAGGAAGGCGGGGAUGACGUCAAAUCAUCAUGCCCCUUAUGGCCUGGGCUACACACGUACUACAAUGGCGGCGACAGAGGGCAGCGAGCCUGCGAAGGCAAGCGAAUCCCAAAAAAGCCGUCCCAGUUCGGAUUGGAGUCUGCAACCCGACUCCAUGAAGUUGGAAUCGCUAGUAAUCGCGGAUCAGCAUGCCGCGGUGAAUACGUUCUCGGGCCUUGUACACACCGCCCGUCAAACCAUGGGAGUGGGCAAUGCCCGAAGCCGGUGGCGCAACCCUUAAAAGGGAGCGAGCCGUCGAAGGCAGGGCCGAUGACUGGGGUUAAGUCGUAACAAGGUAUCCCUACGGGAACGUGGGGAUG
RNAcentral lists this ribosomal RNA (1510 nucleotides) under gut metagenome. Its description in RNAcentral is "bacterial SSU rRNA". It matches the Rfam family "Bacterial small subunit ribosomal RNA". The record is from RNAcentral.